Molecule: RNA transcript, 6886 nt
Organism: Mustela lutreola (European mink)
Lineage: Eukaryota; Metazoa; Chordata; Mammalia; Carnivora; Mustelidae
Gene: KITLG
Gene name: KIT ligand
Exons: 11
Source: RefSeq, a predicted model, not a curated record
GCGGGGAGGCCGAGCCGGGACUGGCAGGACCCGGCACGCGGCGCGAGCUGCGGCUGCAGGUUAAGCUUCACCCUCGGCGCCCUCGUGGCUUCCCUCUUGUGCGCGCCCGCGGCGGCCAGCCGAGAGGAAGCGUUUGGCCUGAUUCGUUCAACUUCGGGGGCAUUGGCCGCGCUCUGGCCGCCCUCCCGGGUCUCCCCCCGCGCCCCUGCAGCGUCUCGCUUCCCCGGGGCUCCGGAAGGAAAGGAGGCGUGUCCGGAGCAGGCGGGAGGGACCGGUAUAAAAGUGCUGGCGGCGCGCCGGGCCGGGCUUCACUUGCCGCCUUGCGCCGGGACGAGGAGCGCCGCGGGAAGCACGGGCCGUGGAGAGGGCGCUGCGCUCGGGCUACCCAAUGCGUGGACUAUCUGCCGCCGCUGCUCGUGCAAUAUGCUGGAGCUCCAGAACAUCUAAACGGAGUCGCCACACCGCUGCCUGGGCUGGAUCACAGCGCUGCCUUUCCUUAUGAAGAAGACACAAACUUGGAUUGUCACUUGCAUUUAUCUUCAACUACUCCUAUUUAAUCCUCUGGUGAAAACUAAAGGGAUCUGCAGGAACCGUGUGACUGAUGAUGUAAAAGACGUUACAAAAUUGGUGGCAAAUCUUCCAAAAGACUAUAAGAUAGCCCUCAACUAUGUCCCCGGGAUGGAUGUUUUGCCUAGUCAUUGUUGGAUAAGAGUGAUGGUGGAACAGUUGUCAGUCAGCUUAACUGAUCUUCUGGACAAGUUUUCAAAUAUUUCUGAAGGCUUGAGUAAUUACUCUAUCAUAGACAAACUUGUGAAAAUAGUGGACGACCUUGUGGAGUGCAUGGAGGAACACUCAUCUGAGAAUGUAAAAAAAUCACCUAAGAACCCAGAACCCAGGCAUUUUACCCCUGAAGAAUUCUUCAGAAUUUUUAACAGAUCCAUUGAUGCCCUCAAGGACUUGGAAACAGUGGCAUCUAAAACUAGUGAAUGUGUGCUCCCUUCAACAUUAAGUCCUGAAAAAGAUUCCAGAGUCAGUGUCACAAAACCAUUUAUGUUACCCCCUGUUGCAGCCAGCUCCCUUAGGAAUGACAGCAGUAGCAGUAAUAGGAAGGCCGCAAACCCCCUUGGAGACUCCAACUUGCAGUGGGCAGCCAUGGCCUUGCCAGCAUUCUUCUCUCUUGUAAUUGGGUUUGCUUUUGGAGCCUUAUACUGGAAGAAGAAACAACCAAAUCUCACAAGGACAGUUGAAAAUAUACAGAUUAAUGAAGAGGAUAAUGAAAUAAGUAUGUUGCAAGAAAAAGAGAGAGAGUUUCAAGAGGUGUAAUUGUGGCUUCUAUCAACACUGUUACUUUCGUACCUUGUGAAUCAAGCUGGGUUUAAAACGAAGCUCUGGAUUGAUUACAAAUGGACUCCUCACACAUUACAAGUGGUGAAAUCGGAGGUGGCAUUCUCCUUCAUAAAGUAUUACUCAUCAUGUCCACUGAGCUCGCUCAAGACUGAACUCCGGUACCACCACUUCAAAAAGCCGACUUCCCAAAUUUAUGACCAGCUCAUUAUAUUUCAUGUGACAGCUCAUACAUCUUGAAAUGCCCAUGCGGGUAACAGUUCAUGUUUGCUUCAUAAAUGAAGCAGCUUUAAACAAAUUCAUAUUCUGUCUGGAGUGACAGACUGCAUUUUUAUCUGUUCUUGCUACCCAUGACUCUAUGGAUGAUUCACAAAUUGGAACAAAGUGUUUUACUGUGAAACUGGCGCUGAAUUAAUCAUCUAUAAAGAAGAACUUGCAUGGAGCAGGACUCUAUUUUAAGGACCUGGGGGACUUGUGGUCUCAUUUAGAACUUGCAACUGAUGUUGGGAGAGAAAGCACGUGCCCCAGACUGCAUGCACCAUUUUGCAUGCCUCCAGAAGUGUCUAAUUGCUGAAAAGCCACAUAGCUUGAUUUUCAGUUACAACCUGCAGCUCACAGUUAUCUUGGCCUCUGCAAGUAGAUUUCAUCCUGAAUAGUGGGGGGUAAUAAUUUUUCUCAAAGGGAUCCAGAAAAAAAUUUAAAAACAAAUGUCAAUAACAUCAACAACUCUACAUAGAGAAAACAGUGGGGAUAAAAUAAUUGGAGUAGACAGCAUGUCAGCCUUGUAGAUGCUAAUGAAUGGUCUGGGUCUGAUCUCGGUCUCUUCUCGACAUAAACCUGUAUCCCAUUAGACAAAUGGACAUGGUUAGCUGGAUCUAACCAUGACUAUGAGCCAGUAUUGAAUUAGAACAUUGAUGUCAUCAACAAAAUGAAACACAACCUACAGAAUGGGAGAAAAUGAUUGCGUAUCAUGUAUCUGAUAAUGGGCUAAUAUCUAAAAUCUACAAAGAACACCUACAACUCAAUAGAAAAAAUAUAUAUAAUUUAAAAAUGGGCAGAAGAUCUGAAUAGACAGUUUUCCAAAGAGGAGCUACAGAUGCCCAACAGAUAAAUGAAAAGUUGCUGAACAUUAGUCACCAGAGCAAUGCAAACCAAAACCACAAUGAGAGAUUCCCCCCAUAUCUGUUAGAAUGGCUAUUAUCUAAAAAGAUGAUAGUAAGUUUGGGUAAGGAUGUGGAGAAAAAGGGAACCCUUGUGCCCCGUUGGUGGAAAUGCAUAUUGGUGCCGUCACUAUGGAAAAUUUUGAGUUUGCUCAAAAAAUUUAAAAUACAACUGCCAUAUUAUCCAGGAAUUCCAUUUCUGGGAAUUUAUCCAAGGAAAAUGAAAACUAAUUCUAAAAGAUGUAUAAACCCCUAUGUCCUUUGCAUUAUUUACAGUGGCCAAGAUAUAGAAACAAUUAUAUAAGUGUACACCAAUGGGUGAAUGGAUAAAGAUGAUGUGUGUAUGUGUGCAUGUACCUAUAUGUGUGCGCGCACACACACACACACACACACAAUGGAUUAUCAUUCAGCUCUAAAAAUGAAAUCUUACCAUUUGUGAUAAUAUGGAUGGACCUUGAGGGCAUUAGGCUAAGUGAAACAAGUCAGAACAACAAAUACCAUAUGAUCUCUUAUAUGUGGAGUCUAAAAAAAUUUAAAAAAGACAAAAAUACCAAGCAUACAAAGAAAAGAUUGGUGGUUGCAAGGGAUGGGGUGGGGUAAUAAAUGAAUGACCUAGGUUUUUUAUUAGUUUAAGUUGAAUAAAAAUGUAAAAAUAAUAAGCCCUUCCCCCAAAUAUUGAUGCCUUUACAGAGAGGAAAAUUUCCAAAAGACUUAGGACCCAAAGCUAAGAACACUGAAUAUCAGGACAGUCACUGAGGAACACAUUCAACACCCUUUCCCCCUGCCACUAUCAGAGUGUAUAAAUUGUGCUUGCAAAAUAUAUUAUGAAAUGUUUAUAUUCUAAAAAUACUACAGAGUUAUAUAAAAGGACUACAGAGAAAUUGCUGACUAUAUGAAGGUGCAAUUUUCAAUUUACAUCAUGAGAGAAAGUAAAAAUAAAUUAUAUUUAGUAUCUAAGAAAACCACACCCACAUUAUAAUAUGGGUAUUGAAAACUAGGUUACUUGGCUUUUAUAAGGCAGCAUGGAAUCAGGAAAUUUUAGUUAUUUUUCAUAUAAUCACCAUUAUCAGCUUAAAGGAUCCAUUUAUUUAAAAUUAGUCACUGUGUAUUCAUUAAUGUUUAUGAAAUAAAGCUAGCGAGCUUUACAUAGUUACACAUGUCAGUUUGCUAUUUAAAACAUGUAACAGCAUUUGUCCUAUUAAGAGUGAAUUUGUAAGAAUUCCAAAGAUGGACAUCAUGCUUUUAAACUAAAGUUGUUAAGACAUUAUGUGAAUUUCCAUUACCAAUUUUUUAUAGGCAAAGAAGCAUCUGACUGAAAUGAAUUCUUAUGGUUUAUUUUGAUGAAAAUACUUUUACUAUAUCAUGAACAGAUACAUAAAGGAAUCCAAAGCUCUCUAUUGUAACCUAAUUCUUGUUAUAACAUUGUUGUCAUGUUCUACCCCUCAGAUGGCCAUUUGCAGUGUAGUGAUUAAAAAAAAAGAAGAAAGAAAGAAAUCAUGAAAAACUGUGAGCUUUCCUUUGAUUUCAAAAGUCCAAGAAUUUCUAGCCUAGUUGGAUUUUAGAUUAUGUUCAAAGCAGAUCUAAAUCAACUCCAGUGAAGUGGCCUUUGCUCUAUUUUUAUACCAAAGAGCCCAGAUGCUUUCUGUGAGCCCUUCCUUCUCUAAAGUGCUGGGGUUCCUUAAAAGGUAGUCAUUUCUCUAAGAUACAACCCAGGUGCUUUGGGAAACUUCAUUGACUUAUUCAGGCCCUUAAAUAUCCCCUGAUACAAUCGAUUAGUAAUAAACCCAGAGAUCAGUUUAUUUGCUGAAAGGACCUAUCUCAGUGUGUGACAUUGGUUAUUUUGAGGAAAAUAGAUAUAAAUAUGUCUGAAUUAUAUGUGUAGGUCAGGUGUAGAUUGAGAAAAUUGAUACUUCUCAGUUUAAUAAUUUGAUUUAUUUCACCAGUGGUUUCGAAUCGCUUAGGCAUGAGAAAAUGCUGUUUUGUGGGCUUGAGAGUACAAGAAAAACACUUUUGUUCUCAAAGCUAGGAACUGGGUUUUAUCACUCAAGGAGAUGGUUCUAAUCAAUAGACUUAAAUAAACGAAUUCAGUAAGUUAUGAAAUAUGGCAUGGUAGGCAAGGGAUAAUAUAUUCUGCCUAAUUAAAUACAUUGGUUCAUUGAGAGUUACGUGAAUUACCAAUUUUUAAAACACUAAAGUUUGAUAAAAUGCAUGAACAGUAGAAAAAGGCUGAACAUUAUUUUGGAUGCUAGCUGCUUGGGAAUUGUCAUAUCUGCUUUGAGAUAAAUAUAUAGAUCUAUAUAUAGAACUAUAUAUCUUUGCUUUGUUUUAUCCAGUACAUGUGCUGAAUAUCCUUCAGAAAUCAUGGAAAACUCACAACUGAUAUUAUAAACCAUGAAAUCACCUUUUAAAUUGGUGCCAUGUAUCUGAUAGUUCUCUUGUGUAACAUUUCAAGACUGCCUUUUAAAAUGAUCUCAGAAGUCUGCAGAUUUUAAAUUAUACUAAAAGCUUUGCACCUCUGGUGGAACAGAAGCCUAUAAAGAAACCGGCCCUAUGAUAAAUGGUGCCUGUUCAGUGAUAUCGAAGUGUUGUUGGAUUUUGUAUUAUAAUCUUAACGUGUUCACCACACUGCCACUUUUAAAUGAGUCAAAUUGUUUUUUUUUUCAACAUGAUAAUAGCAUAAGUACCCUAUUGUCUUUAAAAAAGGAUUAAGUAUGUGAAGAAUGAAAAUGUACGAGAAAGUAUGUGUUUAUAAUGCAGUGUUUGCUUAUAAUAAGAAUUAAACACAUUUCUUUGAGUAUUAAAGUACUUUGGGGCAACUGUGGCAUAUUUUGGUAUUCUAGUUCAACUGAGGUUUGAAAGUAACAAAAAGCAUUCAGAAUUCAGCUAUCUCUUAAUGUGUUUGUGCAGCUGGGUUUGGGUUUCAAAAUGUAAUUCCAAUGUGAGGCCUUUAACCAUUCCCACCCAUUCUUUAAGAAAUCUUUUUUCAAAAAGAGUGUGGAACAGCGAGGUGGUUGUGUGGGAAAAUUGUCAGAAGCCUCCCCUCUGCUGUUAACUGAUGUGGGUUAAGUCACCUCUUCUCUUUGGAUCUCAAUUUUUUAUUUAUCUUUAUGGUCAAGUUGGAGGUCACAUCGCCUUAGGUAUGAGCCCUAUUGAUAUGUGACUGACAAAAACGAUAAAAUAGAUCUGGAAUUAUUCCAUAUAAAAUGUUCAACUCUGAUCUCUGUGAAUAAGCAAUUUGAACAUAAAAAGUCAUUGCUAUUCUUGUCUGUAAUGUAAAUAGGAUCCAUUAGUAAAAGUAAAAUUCAGUCUCAUGUAGGGUGAAUUGGAUAACCAUUUACACAAGAGAUGGCUUUUUCCUUUGCUUAAGUAAACAUUUUUGGAUCACCUCUGAAGAACGAAAACCACAAUUACAGUUUAGAAAGAGAUACUAUAAGAUAUGUGUGACUUUUAGAAUUGCACCAAAUUAAGCUUAUUUAAAUGCUCUCAUUUUAUUAAAAGCUUAGAGCACAAAAUGUAAGAUGCUCAAAGUUUUUGAGUGCCAAGAGAUCAUUUAUAAUCCAUUUGGAAAGGGGUCAUCCAUAAAUUACAUUUUAAAAUUAGAAAGUGGUAUAAGAAUUUUAAUUAAGCCAGCUUGUCUUUGAAACAGUAUUAUUUUAUGAGAUUGGCAGUAAAAUAUAAACAUUCAGAUUGAAAGUCUAGUAAUUUAUGUGUUUGAUCACACAAUUUAUGAUGUUGCUGCUUUCCAUUAACAAGUCUGGAAAUGCCUUUGUUACAGAUAAAAUAAUGGUACUUUCAUUUCCUAACAAGAUGUUUUAGAAAUAAUUUAUAUUAAAGUGGAUAUUCAUAAUCCUAAAAUGUUUCCUAAGCACUGUAAAUUUAUAACUGCCGUCUCCAACUAUGUCCUUAUGAUGUUAUUUUUAAAAAUAUAAUUAAGAUAAUUGUUUAAACUAAAAACCAUAGUAUUUUCAAUUACUUGAUUUCUCAGCUAUAAGACUCAAAAAUUUUCAAUAAGAAUAUCCUAUUCUAUAUUCUAAGGAUUAAUGUGCGAUUAUAGUGUCCACUUGUCACUAUUUUUUAAAUCGAUGGACUUGAAAGUAUUCAAACAUUUAGAUGGAUGCAUAGAUAUAUUGCUAGUUCAAUCAUAGAUUGGAGUUUGCAUAUUGUAAUGUAAAUGUAUGUCAACACUAUUCUAGUUUAUUAUGACUGAAGUGUAAGUAAAUAAAAAAGGUUGUAAAAUGUGAUGUGUAUGUGUAUAUACUAUAUGUGUACUUUUUAAACUAGGUUUAUGUCCUGACCCCUUUUUAUACAGGUUGAAUUUGAAAUUACAUUAUAUAUACAUAUACUUUAUUGUUCUAAAUAAAGAAUUUUAUGCACUCUCAGAA